GAGGUUAUAGCUCAGUGGUAGAGCACAUGCUUAGCAUGCAUGAGGUCCUGGGUUCAAUCCCCAGCGCCUCU
Molecule: transfer RNA, 71 nt
Filed under: Camelus bactrianus (Bactrian camel)
Lineage: Eukaryota; Metazoa; Chordata; Mammalia; Artiodactyla; Camelidae
Also listed under: 2 other names
Rfam family: tRNA
About the family: Transfer RNA (tRNA) molecules are approximately 80 nucleotides in length. Their secondary structure includes four short double-helical elements and three loops (D, anti-codon, and T loops).
Source: Rfam by way of RNAcentral